This 159-nucleotide ribosomal RNA is filed under the name uncultured Trebouxia photobiont. RNAcentral's name for it is "5.8S ribosomal RNA". It matches the Rfam family "5.8S ribosomal RNA". From Rfam's summary of the family: 5.8S ribosomal RNA (5.8S rRNA) is a component of the large subunit of the eukaryotic ribosome. It is transcribed by RNA polymerase I as part of the 45S precursor that also contains 18S and 28S rRNA. Functionally, it is thought that 5.8S rRNA may be involved in ribosome translocation. The record is from RNAcentral. Lineage: Eukaryota; Viridiplantae; Chlorophyta; Trebouxiophyceae; Trebouxiales; Trebouxiaceae.
GACAACUCUCAACAACGGAUAUCUUGGCUCCCGUAACGAUGAAGAACGCAGCGAAAUGCGAUACGUAGUGUGAAUUGCAGAAUUCCGUGAACCAUCGAAUCUUUGAACGCAAAUUGCGCUCGAGGCCUCGGCCAAAGCAUGUCUGCCUCAGCGUCGGCU